Molecule: non-coding RNA, 29 nt
Filed under: Mus musculus (house mouse)
Lineage: Eukaryota; Metazoa; Chordata; Mammalia; Rodentia; Muridae
Source: RNAcentral
AAGGUGCUUCUGUGACUGGAUGUAUCUGA